Long non-coding RNA from Hypanus sabinus (Atlantic stingray), 300 nucleotides. RefSeq lists it as uncharacterized. The record is from RefSeq and is a predicted model, not a curated record. The transcript has 4 exons. NCBI's taxonomy places the organism in Eukaryota, Metazoa, Chordata, Chondrichthyes, Myliobatiformes, Dasyatidae.
AUAAUAAAGACAGCCCUUUGGAGACCUGCCGUGACAACAGACUUCAACAGACCUCUCUAUCUUUGCUGCAUGCGAUGACGUCACAUCUGGUUUUGUCGCAUCUUGUGGGAAAAUACCAGUUUGGAGAAACGGGAAGGAGGGGGCUCACAUGUGCAGGAUCAGCACGAGAAAAGUUUUCUUUCUACGCACUAGAAACAUUAGUGAAGCAACGCCUUUUCACCAUACGUUAACGUGGAAGAGUGAACAGUAAACGGUUAAUCUUACUGCGAUCCUGUCUUCAUUGACUACAGUUUACCUCGG